UUAGAUUAAUAACUGGAAAGGCAUCUUAUUAGAGCAAGAACUAUGGAGAAAAACGAGAAUAACACAGACUAUGCAGGCAAAAAGCAAUGUGAAACAUGGGAUAGAAAACUGAGAAAAGAUCGGAACAGUAAAUAUAGUACUUAUAUAUCCGCCCAUCACCGUGUCUUGCCCGUCCCUCAAUAUCAUAUAAUUCUCUCGCGCAAAAUCAAAAUCCUGCUUCUGUAUGCCCAAAAUGGCAGGUAAUAUUAAAGUACCCUACUGAUUCUUGUAAUGGUUUGAAACUGCUUGUGCUUUUUAUUGAGUUGAUCAACUGUUUUUCUGUCUACACUUGUGCCCUGAAUUUUGUCGAUCUUGAUAAAUAGGAAACAGAUAGUUAGUCUAAUUUAGUAAAUGUAUGGUUCAAUAAUAGUUUAGUUUCUGCAUAAGUGGAGAUCCAACAGACGACAUCGAUAUGGUGUAUUACCGCUAGUAGAAUGAAUAAGUGUGAAGAAGAAAAGAAAAAUUAAAUGGAAAAAUAUAAAUAUUUGGCACUGAGUUGGCAUGCCACAUGGCGUUCAUCUCACACACUUGUUUUCCACAAAAGAGGGAUAUAUUUGCAUACUUUGAUAACGGCCGGGGCAUAAUUGACCCCAUAGUUUAACUAAGGACAAACUUAGCCAAUUUAUGAAAGUAAAGGGAUAUUUUUUAUCCUUUUCCCUUAAUUCAUAUUUGAUGCAUCAUAUCUUGAAAAUGAUUUUUAUUUGAUCACCCAUCAGGUGAUGUUGAUGAAGCAGUUUAUGUUGGCCGAUAGUCAUUUAAUUGGUAAUUAUGUCGGCCGAAUGACCAGUUUAGGGAGUAAUGAUAAGUGUACUAUUUUUUGCAUUAGAAGUUAUAAAUCGAUGGAUAUUUUGUCUAAUUUUACCUUCAUUCUAUAGGUAGAUAGAUUUCCCUUCAUUGUAAGGCAUCUUAUAAGGAACUUCUCUCUUUUUUUUACUUACACAGUAUGUUAAUGCCAUUUGAAUCUAGAGCAAGCUGUUCAUGGGCAAUUCCAGCUAUUUGAGAAUACAGUUGGUUUGCGAGCCUUUGUCAUGGAUGAGUGGCAGACAAGGGCUGGAUUCGACAAUACAGUGUUUCCACUGUUGCUAAUUCUUUCGAUGAAGUUCACUGUUGUAAAUUCUUCAUUAAGUUGAGCUGUUCUUUGCAACAUAUUCCAAAUGAAUUUCUGGAUUGAGACUUCCAGGUUUGACAACGUAGUCUGCUCUCUUUGCAAGUUGCACCCCUAAAGAAGGAGUAUAAAUUUGAGAGUGGAAAUUAAGAUAACUUUUCAAAAGAAGUUAUAACAUCCUUUUCAAAAGAAGUUACAACAUCCUAACCAUCGUCAAGAAAUCCAGCAGAUAAAUAAGAUAUUGCUAACUUGAUGAGAAAUCCCAUAGUGACAAAUAAUGACAUAUUUUAAGUUUCAUGUUGUACCCGCCGGAAAUAACACAUUAUAACAACCAUCAAUGUGAAAGAAGGUACUAGGCCACUCUAUUUUUCCAGGAAAAGAAUAAGAGGACUGACUAGUACUAAUAGCUUCAAUUAAAUUGAUACAAGUUGCAGAGUACCAUAUCUAUAGAACAUAUGAAUCCUUGAUCUGGACAUUUCGACCUGUGUAUUCACAGUACUUGAAGUGUUAUGAUUCUCCCCAAUCCUUCUAAUCUGCUCUUUCUCCAUUAUCGUCCUGAGGAAGCAAAUCGAGGCUUAGUUGGUUCAUCAUGCGAGAGAGAGUGAUGAGCUGUAUACCUAACUGUUACAUCUCAGUAACAGCUUUAGGGAACGCUAACAUACCUCAAUGUAGCUUCUGAAAUCAGAAGAAGAUUCGAUGUGCCCCUCAUUCAGAUAUGCCUGAGCACUAUCUUCAAUGUCGUCCAACCUGAAAUGAUUUUCUAUUAGCGAUUCAGUAUCUUAAUUAUAUAUAGCGAUUUUCAUUUCCUGUCACAAACCCAUUAUAUAUAUUCUAUUAGAUAUGUCACUUUUCAAUUCAUUCAUGUUAAUAUGUGAUGUGGAAAAUGCUUGGUCAAGCUGGAAGAACAAAAUUAUUCAACUUAAACAUUGAUAAUCAGGUGUCAAAAUGCAGAAUGCAUUUCAACAUCACAAUCAGCAGACAGCAGAAUAGAAAGAAGAUUGUCCAGGAUAACAGUAUUACCUGUAGAUGUAAUUUACCAUCAUGCCUCCACUUUGAGUAAGGCCCUUUUGUGA
Molecule: long non-coding RNA, 2217 nt
Filed under: Capsicum annuum
Lineage: Eukaryota; Viridiplantae; Streptophyta; Magnoliopsida; Solanales; Solanaceae
Description: long non-coding RNA (CANN_LNC002581)
Source: RNAcentral